This 362-nucleotide ribosomal RNA is filed under the name uncultured bacterium. RNAcentral's name for it is "bacterial SSU rRNA". It matches the Rfam family "Bacterial small subunit ribosomal RNA", at positions 29 to 419 of the family's 1533-position model. The record is from RNAcentral.
AACGAACGCUGGCGGCAUGCCUAACACAUGCAAGUCGAACGAUGGCUUCGGCCAUAGUGGCGGACGGGUGAGUAGCGCGUGGGAACCUGCCCCGAGGUACGGAAUAACCGCUGGAAACGGCGGCUAAUACCGUAUGAGCCCUGAGGGGGAAAGAUUUAUCGCCUUGGAGGGGCCCGCGUCCGAUUAGGUAGUUGGUGAGGUAAAGGCUCACCAAGCCUGCGAUCGGUAGCUGGUCUGAGAGGAUGAUCAGCCACACUGGGACUGAGACACGGCCCAGACUCCUACGGGAGGCAGCAGUGGGGAAUAUUGCGCAAUGGGCGAAAGCCUGACGCAGCGACGCCGCGUGGGUGAUGAAGGCCUUC